Molecule: RNA transcript, 1013 nt
Organism: Heterocephalus glaber (naked mole-rat)
Lineage: Eukaryota; Metazoa; Chordata; Mammalia; Rodentia; Bathyergidae
Source: RefSeq, a predicted model, not a curated record
GUCCAAACAGAACUCGGAACCCUGGAGUCACUGGGCAGCACAGUCCAGCGACGGCUGCCUAACAGUCACUUGGCUGGAGAGAGUCAGCAGCGAUCAUGCUGUGCUGCUUUCCCAGGCCUUGAGGCCGCAGCAAUAGGACCCCGCGCAGGGAAAGCACUUGGGCACGAGUGAGAGGAUGGAUGGCUAAGUCCCCAUGCUUCAGGCCACUCACCAGGAGCUGCCUGGCCAUCAGGGGCAGCACAGGGCGGGUCUCACCAGACCCAGAGACCUGGGGACCUGAGAUGAGCGGGAGCCCAGGGCAGAUCUCCCGGGACCUGGACGCCAGACACUCGGGGCCACCGAGUCCAGGACAGGUCCAGUCAGGCCCGGCCACCGCUGCCCAUUUGUGCCCCUUCUGGUACGAGCCAUGAUGGCGACUUGCAGAGUGGUCUGGGCUUCAGCCUCCAGCCCUCCUGAUGGCCUGGGUGGGCCCCAGUUCCAUGUCUCCCCUCUGUUCCAUCCCAGAUUGGGGCCCAAUGGGAGGAGAGCCGAGCAGAGGACUGCAUGGUGAGGAUGGCACUGGCAGGCAUGCAGCACCCCCCCCAAGGGAGCCCCCAGAAUGGGACUUCCUGGACAGCCACCCCAUCCACAUGGACUCCCUCCUGGACCCCUCUGGGGCCUGCAUUCCCGCCCUGCAGGAGGGGAUGGUGGGAAGGACCAGCUCCAGCCCCAGCUGAAGUCCCACAUGUGGAGCCCGAGCCAGCUCCACCUGCAGCUUCCUGCCCAGCACUGGGACCACAGCCAGAGUCCGUGGCAGCCCCUUCACCUGCUGCAGUGCUGGGGCACCCGGUGGUUGCACAGCGGUCCGUGUCACCUCCUGAGCUCCGCCUUGGGCCAGCUCCUGGCCCCUCCCACUGUUUCCUUCACUUAUGCUGCCUCUUGUUUUGGUAUUUACAAUUGCCCUUAUUUCUUGGAUUUAUAUAAAUAAUAGAACUAGCUUUUAAUAAAACUUAAAAUUUUAGUGUUUAAAAGGG